This 377-nucleotide ribosomal RNA is filed under the name uncultured bacterium. RNAcentral describes it as "bacterial SSU rRNA". It matches the Rfam family "Bacterial small subunit ribosomal RNA", at positions 28 to 360 of the family's 1533-position model. The record is from RNAcentral.
GAUGAACGCUGGCGGCAUGCCUAAGACAUGCAAGUCGAACGGAGGGACCCAAUGAUGUUUUAUGAAGUUUUGAGAGCUUGCUCGAUGAAUGGAUUAAAAUGGAUUUGGAUCAUCCCUCAGUGGCAAACGGGUGAGUAACACGUGGGUCACCUACCCUCAAGUUGGGGACAACAGUUGGAAACGAUUGCUAAUACCGAAUGUGAUCUACGGAUUAAAGAGCCUUUAAAGCUUCGCUUGAGGAUGGGCCUGCGGUGCAUUAGCUAGUUGGUGGGGUAAUGGCCUACCAAGGCGACGAUGCAUAGCCGAACUGAGAGGUUAAUCGGCCACAUUGGGACUGAGACNCGGACCCAAACUCCUACGGGAGACAGCAGGUGGGG